This 402-nucleotide ribosomal RNA is filed under the name bacterium. Its description in RNAcentral is "partial 16S ribosomal RNA". It matches the Rfam family "Bacterial small subunit ribosomal RNA", at positions 355 to 776 of the family's 1533-position model. The record is from RNAcentral.
UGGGGAAUUUUGCACAAUGGGGGAAACCCUGAUGAAGCGACGCCGCGUGAUUUAGAAGGCCUUCGGGUUGUAAAAAUCUUUUUUACGGGAUGAAAAUGACAGUACCGUAAGAAUAAGGUCCGGCUAAAUACGUGCCAGCAGCCGCGGUAAUACGUAUGGACCGAGCGUUGUCCGGAAUCAUUGGGCGUAAAGGGUACGUAGGCGGCCUAGUAAGUUAGAAGUGAAAUAAUAUAGCUCAACUAUAUAAAGCUUUUAAAACUGCUAGGCUUGAGAGAUGGAAGGGAAAGUGGAAUUCCUAGUGUAGCGGUGAAAUGCGCAGAUAUUAGGAAGAAUACCGGUGGCGAAGGCGACUUUCUGGUCAUCAUCUGACGCUGAGGUACGAAAGCGUGGGUAGCAAACAGG